Molecule: ribosomal RNA, 1056 nt
Filed under: Apodemus sylvaticus (European woodmouse)
Lineage: Eukaryota; Metazoa; Chordata; Mammalia; Rodentia; Muridae
Description: partial 16S ribosomal RNA
Rfam family: Bacterial large subunit ribosomal RNA
Source: RNAcentral
UACCAAAAAUGAAUUCAGUUCAAUUUAAAUUUACUAAAAAAAUUAUAGAAUUUUAAAGUAAGUUUAAAAUUUAGCCAAAAGAGGGACAGCUCUUUAGGAAUGGAAAAAACCUUAAAUAGUGAAUAAACUAAUCAAACUAAACAAACCAUUGUAGGCCUAAAAGCAGCCACCAAUAAAGAAAGCGUUCAAGCUCAACAUUGUAAUUGAAAUAAUUCCAUAAGUAAAAUAAAUUCCUAUACUUAAAUUGGGUUAAUCUAUUAUUAUAUAGAUGAAAUACUGUUAAUAUGAGUAACAAGAAUUAUAUUCUCCUUGCACAAGUGUAUAACAACUCGGAUACCCAUUGUUAGUUAUCAAACUAUAGGUCAAACCCAACAAAUAAACCCACCUAAAAAUUUAUUGUUAACCCAACACAGGAGUGCUAUAAGGAAAGAUUAAAAAAAAUAAAAGGAACUCGGCAAGCCGGAACCCCGCCUGUUUACCAAAAACAUCACCUCUAGAAUAACAAAUAUUAGAGGCAUUGCCUGCCCAGUGACUAAAGUUUAACGGCCGCGGUAUCCUGACCGUGCAAAGGUAGCAUAAUCACUUGUUCUCUAAUUAGGGACUAGAAUGAACGGCUAAACGAGGGUUCAACUGUCUCUUAUUUUUAAUCAGUGAAAUUGACCUUCCAGUGAAGAGGCUGGAAUUGUAUAAUAAGACGAGAAGACCCUAUGGAGCUUUAAUUUAACAGUUUAAUUAAUUAAUAUAACUAACCUAAAUGGAAUAACAUAUAAUAAUAUAAACUUAAAAUUUCGGUUGGGGUGACCUCGGAGAAAAAAUAAUCCUCCGAAUGAUUAUAACUUAGACUAACAAGUCAACGUACAUAUUGAAUCUUAUUGACCCAAUUUUUGAUCAACGGACCAAGUUACCCUAGGGAUAACAGCGCAAUCCUACUUAAGAGUUCAUAUCGACAGUUAGGGUUUACGACCUCGAUGUUGGAUCAGGACAUCCCAAUGGUGCAGAAGCUAUUAAUGGUUCGUUUGUUCAACGAUUAAAGUCCUACGUGAUCUGAGUCAGACG